Molecule: non-coding RNA, 1301 nt
Organism: Callorhinus ursinus (northern fur seal)
Lineage: Eukaryota; Metazoa; Chordata; Mammalia; Carnivora; Otariidae
Source: RefSeq, a predicted model, not a curated record
ACCAAAUAAUAACUUUUCUCCAGAGACCACAAGUUAAUCAAGCCCCGUGACAGACUGUGUGCUGGGCACAGGACUGCGGGUGGGGUGCUUUCAGCUACCGUGCCCUGACUCUGGAGAAGCCUCUUCCCUCUGGGGUCCUUGCUGCCGUCGCCACCCCCAUGCGCUCGUCUCAGAUGCAAGCCCCACCCCUCUCGGUCCUCCUGGGUGUCACCCUCAGCACACGCUUGUGUUGUCCCCAUGCACAUUUGUUAACCACUUCCUCAUAGUUUUUUACCCUCCAAUGAACGCCCAGGGCCCUGAUGCACUCUGCGUCUGAACUGGGAAAUCAGUGAAGCCGGUCUUCACUGAAAGGCAGACACAGGAAGGAGGGCCUGCCAGGUGCCAACCGGCCAAGGACCUGGGAGACCCCUGUGAGCUCCAGAAGCUGGGAGAGGUGGAAGGACGCUCUCCAGGGCCUUCAGAGGGGGCACAACCCUGCUGAAACCUUCAGUUUGGGCCUCUGGCCUCCAGAAUGAUUCAGCGACUUCACAUUGGGAAUGGGAGUGGUCUGCUCGGGCCGCCACAGUGAAGUGCCACAGACCUGGUGGCUUAAACAACAGGAAUUUCUGUCAGUUCUGGAGUCCGGGAAGUCCAAGAUCAAGGUGCCGGCAAGGAUUGCCCUGAAAAGGAAAGGUAGCAGACAAGACAGGUCCUCAAAGUCCACGUCCUUGCCCCAGGGCAGUGGUUCUCAAACUUCAACAGCUUGGAGUGGGGCCUGAGACUUUUCCUUUUUACGAGUUCCCACUUGUGGCUGGUCUGCACUGUGAUAUGAGGUACGUGUGUGUGUACCUGUAGUAGGUAUAUAUUUAACUUUUUAAGGAAUGGUGCAAAUAAUUGCACCUCUGUACAUUCCCACCAGCAGUGUAGGACAUUUCCAGUGGCUUCACUUCCUUGCCAACACUCAGAAUGGCUGGUCUUUCAAUUUGAGCCAUUUAACAGAUAUACAAUGUGAUCUCCCUGUGGUUUUCAUUCACAUUUCCCUAAUGACUAAUGCUGUUACACAUCUUUUCAUGUGGUUGUGAACUGUAUGUCUUUCUUUGACAAAGUAUCUCUUCAAAUCUUUAGCUCCUAUUUUCAACUGGGAUUUUUUUCCCACAAAUUUUGAGGGUUCUUUGUAUAUUUGGGAUACAAAUCCUUUGUCAGUUAUGUGAUUUGCCAAUAUUGUCUCCCUGUCUGUAGCUUCUGUUUUCAUUUUCUUGAUGGUAUCUUUUGAAGAACAGAUUUCAUUUUGAGGGACUCCAAUUUGUCAUAUUUUCUUUAAU